RNAcentral lists this ribosomal RNA (506 nucleotides) under uncultured bacterium. RNAcentral describes it as "partial 16S ribosomal RNA". It matches the Rfam family "Bacterial small subunit ribosomal RNA", at positions 29 to 523 of the family's 1533-position model. The record is from RNAcentral.
AGUGAACGCUGGCGGUAGGCCUAACACAUGCAAGUCGAACGGCAGCACAGGAGAGCUUGCUCUCUGGGUGGCGAGUGGCGGACGGGUGAGGAAUACAUCGGAAUCUACUCUGUCGUGGGGGAUAACGUAGGGAAACUUACGCUAAUACCGCAUACGACCUACGGGUGAAAGCAGGGGACCUUCGGGCCUUGCGCGAUUGAAUGAGCCGAUGUCGGAUUAGCUAGUUGGCGGGGUAAAGGCCCACCAAGGCGACGAUCCGUAGCUGGUCUGAUAGGAUGAUCAGCCACACUGGAACUGAGACACGGUCCAGACUCCUACGGGAAGCAGCAUUGGGGAAUAUUGGACAAUGGGCGCAAGCCUGAACCAGCCAUACCGCGUGGGUGAAGAAGGCCUUCGGGUUGUAAAGCCCUUUUGUUGGGAAAGAAAUCCAGCUGGCUAAUACCCGGUUGGGAUGACGGUACCCAAAGAAUAAGCACCGGCUAACUUCGUGCCAGCCGCCGCCGUAA